Molecule: unclassified non-coding RNA, 647 nt
Filed under: Hevea brasiliensis (rubber tree)
Lineage: Eukaryota; Viridiplantae; Streptophyta; Magnoliopsida; Malpighiales; Euphorbiaceae
Source: RNAcentral
UUCAAUUGUGGUGGCAUAGCAAUUAGUAUCUCCAUUUCACAUAAGAUUGGUGAUGGUUCUAGCCUUUGCACACUCAUCAUUAAUUGGUGCACUACAAGUGAACGAUUAAUAAGAAGCAACACGCAUCUGUCAAUAUUUUUGAAGAGCCCUAGCAACACAGGGGCUAACAAGGUACGAGAACACUCUAAUUUCGUCUCUAUAUCGUCAACAUUUCCACCAAGAGGGAUAUGUGAUGACACACCAAAGGAAAAAUGCAUACCAAUUCAUCCUGUAGCUGAAAACCUAGCAGUAAAAAGAUUCAUUUUUACUAGUUCAAAUAUAGCUAAAAUGAAGGCUAAGUUGAUAAAUUGGGGAUACAAUGAGAACGCGACACGUGUCGAAGUUAUUCUAGCUUUGUUAUGGAAAUGUUUCAUGUCUGCCAAAGGGUGUAACUCAGUUGCAAUUAUUCCAGUGAAUAUAAGGCAAAUUAUAGUUCCACCCUUGAAUGAAAAUUCAUUUGGUAACUUUUUUUUGGUAACAAGUUGUAUAGCAAGUGUGGAAAAUGAAUGGUGUUCAAUGGUAGGGAAAAUAAAUAGUGCAAUUAGGAGAAUUGAUGGUAAUUACGUGGAGAAAAUACGUGGAGAGGAUGGUUUUGAGUUUGUAAACAG